GCGGACGUAGCGCAGUCGGUAGCGCGGCACCUUGCCAAGGUGCAGGUCGCGGGUUCGAUCCCCGCCGUCCGCU
Molecule: transfer RNA, 73 nt
Filed under: Micromonospora humi
Lineage: Bacteria; Bacillati; Actinomycetota; Actinomycetes; Micromonosporales; Micromonosporaceae
Description: tRNA_Gly_GCC
Rfam family: tRNA
About the family: Transfer RNA (tRNA) molecules are approximately 80 nucleotides in length. Their secondary structure includes four short double-helical elements and three loops (D, anti-codon, and T loops).
Source: RNAcentral